CGUGGCCUACGGGGGGCAGCAGUGGGGAAUAUUGGACAAUGGGGGGAACCCUGAUCCAGCGACGCCGCGUGAGUGAAGAAGUAUUUCGGUAUGUAAAGCUCUAUCAGCAGGGAAGAAAAUGACGGUACCUGACUAAGAAGCCCCGGCUCACUACGUGCCAGCAGCCGCGGUAAUACGUAGGGGGCACGCGUUAUCCGGAUUUACUGGGUGUAUAGGGAGCGUAGACGGUGCAGCAAGUCUGAUGUG
This 246-nucleotide ribosomal RNA is filed under the name uncultured bacterium. RNAcentral describes it as "partial 16S ribosomal RNA". It matches the Rfam family "Bacterial small subunit ribosomal RNA", at positions 333 to 596 of the family's 1533-position model. The record is from RNAcentral.